CAGUCGCCACGGUAAUACGAGGGGGGCAAGCGUUGUUCGGAAUUAUUGGGCGUAAAGGGUGCGUAGGCGGUCCCGCAAGUCUCAUGUGAAAUCUUCAGGCUCAACUUGAAGUCUGCAUGGGAAACUGCGGGGCUGGAGUAUGGGAGAGGUGAGUGGAAUUCCUGGUGUAGCGGUGAAAUGCGUAGAUAUCAGGAGGAACACCUGUGGCGAAAGCGGCUCACUGGACCAUAACUGACGCUGAGGCACGAAAGCUAGGGGAGCAAACAGGAUUAGAGACCCCUGUAGUCCCUGUCUCUUAUAC
This 301-nucleotide ribosomal RNA is filed under the name uncultured bacterium. Its description in RNAcentral is "partial 16S ribosomal RNA". It matches the Rfam family "Bacterial small subunit ribosomal RNA", at positions 509 to 807 of the family's 1533-position model. The record is from RNAcentral.